This 497-nucleotide ribosomal RNA is filed under the name uncultured bacterium. Its description in RNAcentral is "partial 16S ribosomal RNA". It matches the Rfam family "Bacterial small subunit ribosomal RNA", at positions 28 to 507 of the family's 1533-position model. The record is from RNAcentral.
GAUGAACGCUGGCGGCGUGCCUAAUACAUGCAAGUCGAGCGAACGGACGAGAAGCUUGCUUCUCUGAUGUUAGCGGCGGACGGGUGAGUAACACGUGGAUAACCUACCUAUAAGACUGGGAUAACUUGGGGAAACCGGAGCUAAUACCGGAUAAUAUUUUGAACCGCAUGGUUCAAAAGUGAAAGACGGUCUUGCUGUCACUUAUAGAUGGAUCCGCGCUGCAUUAGCUAGUUGGUAAGGUAACGGCUUACCAAGGCAACGAUGCAUAGCCGACCUGAGAGGGUGAUCGGCCACACUGGAGCUUAGACACGGUCCAGACUCCUACGGGAGGCAGCAGUAGGGAAUCUUCCGCAAUGGGCGAAAGCCUGACGGAGCAACGCCGCGUGAGUGAUGAAGGUCUUCGGAUCGUAAAACUCUGUUAUUAGUGAAGAACAGAUGUGUAAUUAACUGUGCACAUCUUGACGGUACCUAAUCAGAAAGCCACGGCUAACUACGUG